This is a long non-coding RNA of Octopus bimaculoides (California two-spot octopus), 655 nucleotides long. RefSeq lists it as uncharacterized. The record is from RefSeq and is a predicted model, not a curated record. NCBI's taxonomy places the organism in Eukaryota, Metazoa, Mollusca, Cephalopoda, Octopoda, Octopodidae.
CUUACGCUACUAAUACCCAUCCAUGAUGAAUAUAUGACUGCCACAAGAUUUCAGUCCUUACAGCCUUAAUAUAAAUUAAGUUUUGUGUUGCUUUCAAGAGAACUUUUUACUGGUCUGCGGUUUUGUGAGCUUCUGUAUGUUGAAUAUUCGAAAUGGUCAUGGUUGAAAUCUGGCAAUGAGAGACAGAUAUGGAAAUUGCAGUCUAUGCUUGGUACUUGAAAACACAAUAACACGACGAUGCCAAAUUUGUCCAUUUUCAAGAUAAUCGCUACCAGUUACUUCUGAAGUCUUCUUUGAAGAGUGCGAUGUCACUUUACCUGGAAAGAAACAAUUCAGCUAUUAAUAAGGACGGUUGAAAUUAAUGCAUGCUAAAUUUCACAGCUCUAGAAUCACUCCUUCAUAGUCAACCUAAGAACUUUUCAGCCCACCCUCGUAUAUGUUUGCAUGUAUAUAAUAUACAUAUGUAUGCAUAUGUAUGUAUGUAUGUAUGUAUGUAUGUAUGCAUGUAUGCAUGUAUGUAUGCCUGCAUGCAUGUAUAUGUAUACGAGGGGGUACCCAAAAGAAACCGGAAUUUUGUAAUUUUAUAUUAUUCACAAGUUUCUCUUGUUUACACUUUUAUCGCUUUCAAAGUAUUCUCCAUUUGAAGCAACGCAUC